CCAGACUCCUACGGGAGGCAGCAGUCGGGAAUAUUGCGCAAUGGAGGAGACUCUGACGCAGUGACGCCGCGUGCAGGAAGAAGGUUUUCGGAUUGUAAACUGCUUUAGACAGGGAAGAAACAAGACAGUACCUGUAGAAUAAGCUCCGGCUAACUACGUGCCAGCAGCCGCGGUAAUACGUAGGGAGCAAGCGUUAUCCGGAUUUAUUGGGUGUAAAGGGUGCGUAGACGGAGAAGCAAGUUAGUUGUGAAAUCCCUCGGCUUAACUGAGGAACUGCAACUAAAACUACUUCCCUUGAGUGCUGGAGAGGAAAGUGGAAUUCCUAGUGUAGCGGUGAAAUGCGUAGAUAUUAGGAGGAACACCAGUGGCGAAGGCGACUUUCUGGACAGUAACUGACGUUGAGGCACGAAAGUGUGGGGAGCAAACAGGAUUAGAUACCCCUGUA
RNAcentral lists this ribosomal RNA (445 nucleotides) under uncultured bacterium. Its description in RNAcentral is "bacterial SSU rRNA". It matches the Rfam family "Bacterial small subunit ribosomal RNA", at positions 331 to 792 of the family's 1533-position model. The record is from RNAcentral.